RNAcentral lists this long non-coding RNA (641 nucleotides) under Salvator merianae (Argentine black and white tegu). Its description in RNAcentral is "lncRNA (ENSSMRG00000006255.1)". The record is from RNAcentral. Lineage: Eukaryota; Metazoa; Chordata; Lepidosauria; Squamata; Teiidae.
GGUUGCUGCUGCUGCAGUUUUUUAAGAGGAAUCGUAAUGGUUAAGCUUAUGUUUGGAUUUGUUGGGAAGACUAAUUGGCUGGACAGGAAAUCCUUUUCUGAACUGCAGCACCUGUGAUCCUUGGCCAAAAUGGACAUGUUCUGCCAAGGAAAAUGAGAGUUGUAGUCCAAAACAAGUGAAACUUUUCCAAAUAUGGAACAUGACCGUAUAGAUCUACUGGGUCGUAGGCCAGGAAAUCCAUCCCUUUGGGACACCCGGACUUUCCAAUGCAUCCAGUGAUCCAUGGAAAUAAACACCUAACCCCAAGAUAUUUGGCCUGACGCAGCACCCAACCGCAGAUCGAAGCUUGCUGAACUGUCUGGAGAACGCUGGACCCAUUUUAUAAAAGCAGCCUCUUCAGGACAGAUCAAGCAACUUGACUAAGCCAGAGGCCGAGUGAAGAAAAUGGCGUUAUGCCUAUCUUUAGAAGGCAGAACAUGCAAAGAUUCCAAAAAUGCAGUUUCUGGGCACAUUCCCACAAGGGUUUGAGCAACUGGGCCACGGGCUGCAGUGAGGUGAGGACUCCGAGAGACCUUCCAGUAGUGUGAACAGCAACAAAAGGCAAGUUGCUCUUUACUUCCGCAUCCCUCCUACUACGAGGC